GGCUGUCACUUACAGAUGGGCCCGCGGCGCAUUAGCUAGUUGGUGAGGUAACGGCUCACCAAGGCCACGAUGCGUAGCCGACCUGAGAGGGUGAUCGGCCACACUGGGACUGAGACACGGCCCAGACUCCUACGGGAGGCAGCAGUAGGGAAUCUUCCGCAAUGGACGAAAGUCUGACGGAGCAACGCCGCGUGAGCGAUGAAGGCCUUCGGGUCGUAAAGCUCUGUUGUUAGGGAAGAACAAGUAUCGGAGUAACUGCCGGUACCUUGACGGUACCUAACCAGAAAGCCACGGCUAACUACGUGCCAGCAGCCGCGGUAAUACGUAGGUGGCAAGCGUUGUCCGGAAUUAUUGGGCGUAAAGCGCGCGCAGGCGGUCCUUUAAGUCUGAUGUGAAAGCCCACGGCUCAACCGUGGAGGGUCAUUGGAAACUGGGGGACUUGAGUGCAGAAGAGGAGAGUGGAAUUCCACGUGUAGCGGUGAAAUGCGUAGAGAUGUGGAGGAACACCAGUGGCGAAGGCGACUCUCUGGUCUGUAACUGACGCUGA
RNAcentral lists this ribosomal RNA (547 nucleotides) under uncultured Bacillus sp. Its description in RNAcentral is "bacterial SSU rRNA". It matches the Rfam family "Bacterial small subunit ribosomal RNA", at positions 210 to 749 of the family's 1533-position model. The record is from RNAcentral. Lineage: Bacteria; Bacillati; Bacillota; Bacilli; Caryophanales; Bacillaceae.